GAUGAACGCUGGCGGCGUGCCUCAAACGUGCAAGUCGAGCGAGGCUAUGAAUUACCGCAAGGUAAGGCAUAGCCUAGCGGCGAACGGGUGAGUAACACGUGGGUAACCUACCUGGAAGACAGGGAUAACGAUUCGAAAGGGUCGCUAAUACCUGAUAAUAUCCGUCUGCCGGAUGGCGGAGGGAAGAAAGGGGAAACCCGCUUUCAGAUGGGCCCGCGUCCCAUCAGCUAGUUGGUAAGGUAAAGGCUUACCAAGGCGACGACGGGUAGCCGGUCUGAGAGGAUGUACGGCCACACUGGGACUGAGAUACGGCCCAGACUCCUACGGGAGGCAGCAGUUGGGAAUCUUAGGCAAUGGACGAAAGUCUGACCUAGCGACGCCGCGUGAGGGAAGAAGGCCUUCGGGUUGUAAACCUCUGUCAUGGGGAAGAAGGAAGUGACGGUACCCAAGAGGAAGCCCCUGCUAACUACGUGCCAGCAGCCGCGGUAAACACGAGAGUAA
RNAcentral lists this ribosomal RNA (501 nucleotides) under uncultured bacterium. Its description in RNAcentral is "bacterial SSU rRNA". It matches the Rfam family "Bacterial small subunit ribosomal RNA", at positions 28 to 537 of the family's 1533-position model. The record is from RNAcentral.